GCAUCCAGUGACUCCGCCCGGCGCGCGGAGCUGCAGCCAUGGCUGUCACCGCCGAGGGCGCCCGAAGGAAAGAGCGCGUCCUCUGCUUGUUUGACGUGGACGGGACCCUCACGCCGGCUCGCCAGUUUUUGGCAGACACAACAUCUUUGUUGAAAAUUGACCCUGAGGUAUCAGCUUUCCUGCAGAAGCUGCGCAGUCGGGUGCAGAUUGGAGUGGUGGGCGGCUCCGAUUACUCCAAGAUUGCUGAGCAGCUGGGAGAUGGGGAUGAAGUCAUUGAGAAGUUUGAUUAUGUGUUUGCUGAGAACGGGACGGUGCAGUAUAAGCAUGGACGGCUGCUCUCCAAGCAGACCAUCCAGAACCACCUGGGAGAAGAACUCCUACAGGACUUGAUCAACUUCUGCCUCAGCUACAUGGCCCUGCUCAGACUGCCCAAGAAGCGCGGAACCUUCAUCGAGUUCCGGAAUGGCAUGCUGAACAUCUCGCCCAUUGGUCGCAGCUGCACCCUGGAGGAGAGGAUCGAGUUCUCUGAACUGGACAAGGGUCCAGGAUCCAACAACUCCUGUUCCUUCAGCCUCCGGAACCAGCCUCAAGUCUGCUCAGCUGCAGGCCAACACCCUACUCCCCAGACUACUGUCUUGUUCCCCAGGCUGCCCCCAAUCCUGCCCCCUCAGCCCGGUCUGCUCUCCAGCAGUGCCCUUGACAAUCUGUUACACAUGUCGUCACCCCCAGCCCCUGCUGGCAGUCCUUCCCAGGCUCCCCAGCCCCUCUCCAGCCCUGAGGGCUCUGCCGGCUCCUGCUCCUCUUCAGCCUCCUCUCCGCAUUGGGUGUGAAUCUGCCCCGUCCACCAUGCCCUCUCAGGAUGGUGGGCAUCUUCCCUGAUGCGUUCCCAUCGCCCUGUGCGUGCCCUCUCUCACCAGCUGGCUGCCCUCCCCUCUGCCCCCUGCUGCAGCCAUGGCCUCCUUGCUUUAGCAGACAGUUUCCCAGGGUGCAGACUCAGCCCCCACCAGCUCAUCCGCUCACCUCCUCAGCUCUGCUCACAUGUCACCUUCUGGUGGCCCUCCCAAGCUUCACAUUCACACCGCACCUCUGUCAGUCCUGCACCGCUGCCCUGUCUUAGCUUCCCCAGCAUCCACCGCUGCCCUCUGACCCCCCACACUGUCUACUUUUAAGAUCUCAGUUCCUCCAUCAGCUCUCACCAAAACCGUCAUCUCCACAGACUUGUGUGACUUGUUGGCUGAUGGGUCCUGUGUGCCUCAUACACAGCAAGUGCCCAGAAGUACUUUUUGUCUUUUUGCGGUGCUGGGGUUGAGCGCAGGCCUCGUGCAUGCCAGGCCAGCGCUCGACGCUGAGCCAUACCCAGCCUAGGGAAUGCCUUUGAUUGAAUCUAUGAAACAAGUGGCAUUAAUUCCAUUUUAUGAACGUGAAAAUGAAGGCCAGAGGGGAAAUGACAUACCCAGGGCCACCUAGGCCGUGGGCUGCAGAGUGAAGAUUGAUGCAGCCCGCUGCCCACUGGUGCUUCCCUGAGAGGGGAGGGGCUCAGUGACAGGACUCCUACCCUGUGUUGGAGGCUUUCUGUAGGCAUGGCCACAGCCACAGGGAUCUUUCUGGUUGGAGUAGUUAAGGGCCUCUGGAGGGCCUCUGGCCUCCCUGGGGCCCACACAACCACUGGGAAGGCAGAGGCAGAGCCAGAGCCAGCAGGUGUCCCAUCCCUCAUAUCUGUUUUCCCAGAAGAGGGAAGCACCCUCUUCAUUAAUCAUUUCCCCAUGCUUAACCAAGAAAAUAGGCUCAGAGACUUCGAUGACCUGCCCACGGCCACACAGCACAGCUGGCAAGCCUGGAGCCCUGGCAGCCUGUCCUUAGGUCUCGGGUGGAGUCCUAUAUGCCCUUAUCUUGUGGCAUCCAGGGCUACCUCUCCAGAAGGAGAAGAUCCGAGAGAAGUUUGUGGAAGCCCUGAAGACAGAGUUUGCCGGCAAGGGAUUGAGGUUCUCCCGAGGAGGCAUGAUCAGCUUUGAUGUCUUCCCUGAGGGCUGGGACAAGCGCUACUGUCUGGAC
Molecule: RNA transcript, 2052 nt
Organism: Marmota monax (woodchuck)
Lineage: Eukaryota; Metazoa; Chordata; Mammalia; Rodentia; Sciuridae
Gene: Pmm1
Gene name: phosphomannomutase 1
Exons: 9
Source: RefSeq, a predicted model, not a curated record